Molecule: long non-coding RNA, 985 nt
Organism: Gossypium raimondii (Peruvian cotton)
Lineage: Eukaryota; Viridiplantae; Streptophyta; Magnoliopsida; Malvales; Malvaceae
Exons: 3
Source: RefSeq, a predicted model, not a curated record
CACCAUCCCACAAAUGAUAUUCUCUACUUAAGGUUUGAGCAGUAUGUGGGCUACGCUCUUUGCACCCUUUUGUUCAUCAGCAUCAUUUACAAUAUUGAAUAUAAGUAUGCAACUUUUGCUUUGUCCCUCUCAAGUGCUAAGACUUCAAUUCCUUAUGGCUGAGAAGAUUGAUGUUGAUGAUAUAACUUAAAAACACCAGCAGAGAAGCUUUUGGAUUUGUGUAAUGGGAAGUGGGGACAAUCUGUUGACGUUGUUUUUGAAGAGCUGCUUUAUUGAUAUGAAUUACAUUCUUCCCUUCUAUCUUGGGCUGAGAGCAAUCCGAAUCUUCAGCGUUUUCUAUUUGUAAUUUGCAGGGUGACAUGCAAUUACCAGAAUAAAGGAUGGUCUUAUAUUACGAGGAUUCUGAUGUAGUUGUCAUUGAAUAUAAGAUACUUUGUUCCAAUCUAUAUGCUGCUCCAUUGUCCUAAUUGCUAAAGUUUGAUAUUGCUUUCUAAUACUAUGUUCUUACAGGGUGACAAUUACGUGGCAUUGCUGACAUCACAACCAUGGAGAUAUCAAAUGAGCUGCAAUAUAUAUAUCUAUUGCUACCUGUCCUGACCCACACAUGUCAUCAUUUUGAAAGAUCAGAUCAGAAUGAUGAAUAUAUGUUGGGUGGGGUCGAACAAGUAAAAAGCCGUCCCGGCCCGCCGGACCCUGUCCCGUUGCUAUCUCUGGAAUGGUGGGGAUUGAGCAUUGGAUUCCAGGCAGUGGGCAACUAUUUGGAAGUUGUGUGCGGGGCUGGAAAGAGGGACCAGAGACAGAUAGAUUAGUUUUUGUUUGAGAUAAAAACUCUCUCCCAAUAAUUGAAGCCUUCCCAUUUGCAAUCUUAUUCAAAUUUCCAUCUUCUUAGGUUAAUUUUUGCUAUUAGUGCUUAUACUUUGUGAAAUUUAUGGAUUUAGUGUUUAUAUUUUAAUUUAAUUAAAAUUUAAUUGUUUUACGUUUCAAA